GACGAACGCUGGCGGCGUGCUUAACACAUGCAAGUCGAACGGUAAGGCCCUUCGGGGUACACGAGUGGCGAACGGGUGAGUAACACGUGGGUGAUCUGCCCUGCACUUCGGGAUAAGCUUGGGAAACUGGGUCUAAUACCGGAUAUGAUCACGCUCUUCAUGGGGUGUGGUGGAAAGCUUUUGCGGUGUGGGAUGGGCCCGCGGCCUAUCAGCUUGUUGGUGGGGUAAUGGCCUACCAAGGCGACGACGGGUAGCCGGCCUGAGAGGGUGUCCGGCCACACUGGGACUGAGAUACGGCCCAGACUCCUACGGGAGGCAGCAGUGGGGAAUAUUGCACAAUGGGCGCAAGCCUGAUGCAGCGACGCCGCGUGGGGGGAUGACGGCCUUC
This 388-nucleotide ribosomal RNA is filed under the name uncultured bacterium. RNAcentral's name for it is "bacterial SSU rRNA". It matches the Rfam family "Bacterial small subunit ribosomal RNA", at positions 28 to 419 of the family's 1533-position model. The record is from RNAcentral.